UUUAUUGUCUGACCUGGUCAAUUCGUUGGUGUCUAAGGAAAGCAACGGAGAGACCCCCACUUAUCUUUACUUACUUGGCUAUUUUGGGAGAUUUUGUAUUAGGUUACUUGUUGACCCGAGUUCGCCCAUACCGACUAGGUUGGUCAGAUAUGAAAUGAGAUGAUUCAAACCAGAUUAGUCAUUACAUCAGAUAUAUAUGACUAAUUAGAAGAGACCAGAAUCUAAAUCUUCUUACUAAAUAUUAAGUUAACUGGUCUUCCACCAUUGUAGAGAUACGGAUGCCUUUUUCAGUGUUGAUCAUUUUCGGCUGGUUACAGUGGUUAGUUG
RNAcentral lists this long non-coding RNA (327 nucleotides) under Elaeis guineensis (African oil palm). RNAcentral describes it as "long non-coding RNA (EGUI_LNC060906)". The record is from RNAcentral. Lineage: Eukaryota; Viridiplantae; Streptophyta; Magnoliopsida; Arecales; Arecaceae.